AGAGAGUUUGAUCCUGGCUCAGGAUGAACGCUGGGGACGUGCUUAACACAUGCAAGUCGAACGAAGCGCCUCCCCGGACGAAGUGGAGUGCUGCACAAAAGCGGAAUCAAUUGAGGGGACUUAGUGGCGGACGGGUGAGUAACGCGUGGGUAACCUGCUUUAUACAGGGGGAUAACAGUUAGAAAUGACUGCUAAUACCGCAUAAGCGCACAGUAUCGCAUGAUACGGUGUGAAAAACUCCGGUGGUAUAAGAUGGACCCGCGUCUGAUUAGCCAGUUGGCAGGGUAACGGCCUACCAAAGCGACGAUCAGUAGCCGGCCUGAGAGGGUGAACGGCCACAUUGGGACUGAGACACGGCCCAAACUCCUACGGGAGGCAGCAGUGGGGGAUAUUGCACAAUGGGGGAAACCCUGAUGCAGCGACGCCGCGUGAGCGAAGAAGUAUUUCGGUAUGUAAAGCUCUAUCAGCAGGGAAGAAAAUGACGGUACCUGACUAAGAAGCUCCGGCUAAAUACGUGCCAGCAGCCGCGGUAAUACGUAUGGAGCAAGCGUUAUCCGGAUUUACUGGGUGUAAAGGGAGCGUAGACGGUUUGCCAAGUCUGAUGUGAAAGGUGUGGGCUCAACCCGCAAACUGCAUUGGAAACUGGUAUACUUGAGUGUCGGAGAGGUAAGUGGAAUUCCUAGUGUAGCGGUGAAAUGCGUAGAUAUAAGGAAGAACACCAGUGGCGAAGGCGGAUUGCUGGACAGUAACUGACGGUGAGGCGCGAAAGUGUGGGGAGCAAACAGGAUUAGAUACCCUGGUAGUCCCCU
Molecule: ribosomal RNA, 809 nt
Filed under: uncultured Bacillota bacterium
Lineage: Bacteria; Bacillati; Bacillota
Description: bacterial SSU rRNA
Rfam family: Bacterial small subunit ribosomal RNA
Source: RNAcentral